GAUGAACGCUGGCGGCGUGCCUAAUACAUGCGAGUCGAGCGAACAGACGAGGAGCUUGCUCCUCUGACGUUAGCGGCGGACGGGUGAGUAACACGUGGAUAACCUUCCUAUAAGACUGGGAUAACUUCGGGAAACCGGAGCUAAUACCGGAUAAUAUAUUGAACCGCAUGGUUCAAUAGUGAAAGACGGUUUUGCUGUCACUUAUAGAUGGAUCCGCGCCGCAUUAGCUAGUUGGUAAGGUAACGGCUUACCAAGGCGACGAUGCGUAGCCGACCUGAGAGGGUGAUCGGCCACACUGGAACUGAGACACGGUCCAGACUCCUACGGGAGGCAGCAGUAGGGAAUCUUCCGCAAUGGGCGAAAGCCUGACGGAGCAACGCCGCGUGAGUGAUGAAGGUCUUCGGAUCGUAAAACUCUGUUAUUAGGGAAGAACAAAUGUGUAAGUAACUAUGCACGUCUUGACGGUACCUAAUCAGAAAGCCACGGCUAACUACGUG
Molecule: ribosomal RNA, 497 nt
Filed under: uncultured bacterium
Lineage: Bacteria
Description: partial 16S ribosomal RNA
Rfam family: Bacterial small subunit ribosomal RNA
Source: RNAcentral